Molecule: ribosomal RNA, 524 nt
Filed under: Ascochyta rabiei
Lineage: Eukaryota; Fungi; Ascomycota; Dothideomycetes; Pleosporales; Didymellaceae
Description: eukaryotic LSU rRNA
Rfam family: 5.8S ribosomal RNA (bases 172-325)
Source: RNAcentral
UUCCGUAGGUGAACCUGCGGAAGGAUCAUUACCUAGAGUUUGUGGGCUUUGCCCGCUACCUCUUACCCAUGUCUUUUGAGUACUUACGUUUCCUCGGCGGGUCCGCCCGCCGAUUGGACAAAAUCAAACCCUUUGCAGUUGCAAUCAGCGUCUGAAAAACAUAAUAGUUACAACUUUCAACAACGGAUCUCUUGGUUCUGGCAUCGAUGAAGAACGCAGCGAAAUGCGAUAAGUAGUGUGAAUUGCAGAAUUCAGUGAAUCAUCGAAUCUUUGAACGCACAUUGCGCCCCUUGGUAUUCCAUGGGGCAUGCCUGUUCGAGCGUCAUUUGUACCUUCAAGCUUUGCUUGGUGUUGGGUGUUUGUCUCGCCUCUGCGUGUAGACUCGCCUUAAAACAAUUGGCAGCCGGCGUAUUGAUUUCGGAGCGCAGUACAUCUCGCGCUUUGCACUCAUAACGACGACGUCCAAAAGUACAUUUUUACACUCUUGACCUCGGAUCAGGUAGGGAUACCCGCUGAACUUAAGA